RNAcentral lists this ribosomal RNA (478 nucleotides) under uncultured bacterium. Its description in RNAcentral is "partial 16S ribosomal RNA". It matches the Rfam family "Bacterial small subunit ribosomal RNA", at positions 28 to 507 of the family's 1533-position model. The record is from RNAcentral.
GACGAACGCUGGCGGCGUGCUUAACACAUGCAGGUCGAACGGGAUUUAGUAAACAGAAGCCUCGGUGGAAGAUUACUAAUGAGAGUGGCGAACGGGUGAGUAACGCGUGAGCAACCUGCCUAUGACAGUGGGAUAGCCUCGGGAAACCGGGAUUAAUACCGCAUAAAAUCGUAGAAACACAUGUUUUAACGGUCAAAGAUUUAUCGGUCAUAGAUGGGCUCGCGUCUGAUUAGCUAGUUGGUGAGAUAACAGCCCACCAAGGCGACGAUCAGUAGCCGGUCUGAGAGGAUGAACGGCCACAUUGGAACUGAGACACGGUCCAAACUCCUACGGGAGGCAGCAGUGGGGAAUAUUGCACAAUGGGGGAAACCCUGAUGCAGCGACGCCGCGUGAACGAAGAAGGUAUUCGUAUCGUAAAGUUCUGUCCUAUGGGAAGAUAAUGACAGUACCAUAGAAGAAAGCUCCGGCUAAAUACGUG